AAUACCUCAGAUAGCAGCCCUAUCCAGGAGAAUAUACAGACUUUAGGCAGAAGGUAAAAAGACUAAAAACAAAAUGAAUUUCAUGUCGUGAUCAGUUUCGCCGUGAGUUCAAUGCCAACAAAGGUCAUAGCGGCGAUGGGAAACAAAAAAAAACAACCAUAUCUAUACACCAAGGAUUUACAGUUUCUUUUACCUAUAAUGGACCUGCGACCUACUGUGGAUAAUCUGGAGGCUGAAGGUGACUCUUCAACUGAUAUAGAUAAUCUGACACCACCACCAUCAUGUUCAACAGCUGCUGUAGAAAUGGAGGAUGUUCCAAGACCAGAUGAGGAAAGU
Long non-coding RNA from Bufo gargarizans (Asiatic toad), 336 nucleotides. RefSeq lists it as uncharacterized. The transcript has 3 exons. NCBI's taxonomy places the organism in Eukaryota, Metazoa, Chordata, Amphibia, Anura, Bufonidae. The record is from RefSeq and is a predicted model, not a curated record.